This 514-nucleotide ribosomal RNA is filed under the name uncultured Alkalibacterium sp. RNAcentral's name for it is "bacterial SSU rRNA". It matches the Rfam family "Bacterial small subunit ribosomal RNA", at positions 8 to 503 of the family's 1533-position model. The record is from RNAcentral. Lineage: Bacteria; Bacillati; Bacillota; Bacilli; Lactobacillales; Carnobacteriaceae.
AGGCUUUGAUCCUGGCUCAGGACGAACGCUGGCGGCAUGCCUAAUACAUGCAAGUCGAACGCCGACGCACUCUGCUUGCAGAGUGCUGAGGAGUGGCGAACGGGUGAGUAACACGUGGAGAACCUGCCCAUAAGAGGGGGAUAACAUCCGGAAACGGGUGCUAAUACCGCAUAGGUGGCUGGAGCGCAUGCUCUAGUCAUGAAAGACGGCUUCGGCUGUCGCUUAUGGAUGGCUCCGCGGCGUAUUAGCUAGUUGGUGAGGUAAUGGCUCACCAAGGCAGUGAUACGUAGCCGACCUGAGAGGGUGAUCGGCCACACUGGGACUGAGACACGGCCCAGACUCCUACGGGAGGCAGCAGUAGGGAAUCUUCCACAAUGGGCGAAAGCCUGAUGGAGCAAUGCCGCGUGAGUGAAGAAGGUUUUCGGAUCGUAAAGCUCUGUUGUUAGAGAAGAACAAGAGGUGUAGUAACUGGCACCUCCUUGACGGUAUCUUACCAGAAAGUCACGGCGUAAUA